This is a long non-coding RNA of Humulus lupulus (European hop), 729 nucleotides long. RefSeq lists it as uncharacterized. The transcript is spliced from 3 exons. Lineage: Eukaryota; Viridiplantae; Streptophyta; Magnoliopsida; Rosales; Cannabaceae. The record is from RefSeq and is a predicted model, not a curated record.
AUUAUUUUAAAAUCAAGCUUUGAAUCCUUAAAUCUCUCUGAAUAUUUUGAAAAAUUCCUAAGCCUUUGGCUGAAGGAUAUUCAAAUAUUUUCAAUUAAAUUUAUUUUUUUUUAUUCAAAGCCAAAAAGAAGAUUUUUAUUCCUAGAACUCUAUAAAUAGGACCUAGCACCAAGCAUUUUUUAUUCAUCAAGCUAAGUUCAGAGGCUGCAAGUUGCUAGGUUAUUGUGAGAGUGUAAACACUUGGGUUGGGGAUUAUAAGCUUGAUCAUCAUAAGCUUAUCAAACACUUUGGGAAGUGAGGUUCGUUAGUAUCUCGGUUGUGGUUAGAUUGGUCUUUCAAGUCUUUGAGGAAAUCUAAGCUCUUGAGCACAUAAGUUUUGGAGUGUUCCAAAAAGUCCCAACUCAGUCCACAUAUCCCGGUAACUUUGGUAAGGAAAAUAGGCUAGAAUCAAUAUGUUUAUGUUUAUGUUAUCUUAUGUGUUAUGUUAUGAUAUGUUAUGAAUAUGUUAUGAUUGUGUAUGUUUGUAGGCUUGGGCUUAUGCCCUAUUUGACUAACAAGACCCCAAAAAGAUUGUGGGCAUAAGCCUAUUUAGCUAGUAGGACCCCACUAAUCUCAUGGGCAUAAGCUUGUUUAGUCUAUGGGACCCCAAGUAAUAAUGGCCAUUAUAAUAAGUGUAUUAUGUGUUAUGAUAUGUCUUUAUGUUUAUUACGAAAUUUAUGUUUAUGACUA